CCUCGUGUCACCAGUUCAAAUCUGGUUCCUGGCA
Molecule: transfer RNA, 34 nt
Filed under: Agropyron cristatum
Lineage: Eukaryota; Viridiplantae; Streptophyta; Magnoliopsida; Poales; Poaceae
Also listed under: 1 other name
Description: partial tRNA-Phe
Source: RNAcentral